GAUGAAGAACGCAGUGAAAUGCGAUAAGUAAUGUGAAUUGCAGAAUUCAGUGAAUCAUCGAAUCUUUGAACGCAUCUUGCGCUCCUUGGUAUUCUGAGGAGCAUGCCUGUUUGAGUGUCAUUAAAUUCUCAACUACACUGACUUUGAAUUGGUGUGGCUUGGAUUUGGGGGGAAAAUUGUUGUGGGCUUUUUGUAUAGUCUGCUCCCCUGAAAUUGAUUAGCGGUACCUUUGUGGAACUGUCUACAGGUGUGAUAAUUAUCUACAUCUUAGACAUCUGCUGGAAUGCUGCUUUCUAAACCUUACUUGUAUUGACAAUCAUGACCUCAAAUCAGGUAGGACUACCCGCUGAACUUAAGCAUAUCAAUAAGCGGAGGA
RNAcentral lists this unclassified non-coding RNA (376 nucleotides) under soil metagenome. Its description in RNAcentral is "partial contains 5.8S ribosomal RNA, internal transcribed spacer 2, and large subunit ribosomal RNA". The stretch from base 1 to 120 matches the Rfam family "5.8S ribosomal RNA", at positions 35 to 154 of the family's 154-position model. The record is from RNAcentral.